This 464-nucleotide long non-coding RNA is filed under the name Ictidomys tridecemlineatus (thirteen-lined ground squirrel). Its description in RNAcentral is "lncRNA (ENSSTOG00000032776.1)". The record is from RNAcentral. Lineage: Eukaryota; Metazoa; Chordata; Mammalia; Rodentia; Sciuridae.
GUCAGUCACGAUGCAGAGGCGGGCCUGGAGGGCAUCCAUCCCGGAUGCUGGGGGAACUGCCCAAUCAGUGCGCAGAGGGAGAGGAAGGGCGGGCUUCCGAAAUCUCCUUUGCUUUUCUUCCUCAGGGACUGGGCUUCUCAUCCUUCAGGCCCAGAGUUCUCUGCUCAAGGGUCUCAGGUGACGCUGCUGCCUGUGACCCCCCCACACCCCCAUCUCGGGUGCCUGAGGUUCCUCGAGAGGACGCCGGGUCACCACAGAAGACAAAAAUGGCACCCAGGUGACUUUGUGCAGCCUGUUUCCCUGGGGACUUCGGAUGCCCAGAGGUUCUACCAGAGGACGCCGGGUCACCACAAAAGACAAAAAUGGUGAGUCUGCAACCAGGGCUGAAUGUAGGCGGUCAGCACCUGCCUUGGGGCCCUGUGCGCGGGUGAGCAGCAGAGCGCCUAGGAGUCCCCGCUGGCGAG